CCUACGGGGGGCAGCAGUGGGGAAUAUUGGACAAUGGGGGCAACCCUGAUCCAGCCAUGCCGCGUGUGUGAAGAAGGCCCUCGGGUUGUAAAGCACUUUCAGUGAGGAAGAACGCCUGGUGGUUAAUACCCAUCAGGAAAGACAUCACUCACAGAAGAAGCACCGGCUAACUCCGUGCCAGCAGCCGCGGUAAUACGGAGGGUGCGAGCGUUAAUCGGAAUUACUGGGCGUAAAGCGCGCGUAGGUGGCUUGAUAAGCCGGUUGUGAAAGCCCCGGGCUCAACCUGGGAACGGCAUCCGGAACUGUCAAGCUAGAGUGCAGGAGAGGAGGGUAGAAUUCCCGGUGUAGCGGUGAAAUGCGUAGAGAUCGGGAGGAAUACCAGUGGCGAAGGCGGCCUUCUGGACUGACACUGACACUGAGGUGCGAAAGCGUGGGUAGCAAACAGGAUUAGAUACCCUUGUAGUC
RNAcentral lists this ribosomal RNA (465 nucleotides) under Vreelandella stevensii. Its description in RNAcentral is "partial 16S ribosomal RNA". It matches the Rfam family "Bacterial small subunit ribosomal RNA", at positions 338 to 795 of the family's 1533-position model. Lineage: Bacteria; Pseudomonadati; Pseudomonadota; Gammaproteobacteria; Oceanospirillales; Halomonadaceae. The record is from RNAcentral.